UCAGGGUCAUAGAGUUUCAGUGAUCAAAACUGUAAUUUUCCAAUAUUAGAAUUUUCGGGAAACAAUGUUGGGAUAAAUUAGUAGAAAAUAGUAGUAAAAAAAGAGCCGUGUCAGUUUCUUGUAAUUCUUUUUUAUUUAUUUAUUAAGGGGGGUGUCACCUCAGACAUAUUGAUGUCUCCUCCCACCAUAGUUCUAUUUGUUCUUAAGGCUCUUUAGGGGGGAGUGACUAGUUGGCCACCAGCAAGGGCUGGGCCCGACUGGCCACUGUAGGCUUGUUGAGUCCCUAGAUUGUGCCUUCUCUUCUUGCAGGCGUUCCCCCCUGUCUGCAAGUUGGGAAUGGGUCGUUGACAUGAUUGUGUAAUGACUAUUUUGCCCCUGAAAUAAAAUAAGUAGCCCAUUCAGUAAAUCUCUGUGCUUGGUUGCUUGUUGAUGUGCUUGUAUUGCUAUAAUUGCCCGAUCAUGAUAUUUUUCAUAUGAUAACUGUGGUUUUUCCCCGUUUUUAUGAGAAUGGGGCAGGAGGUCCUAACAUUUACGUUCCUUUGUCCAGGUGAACGCGUAAGGAGCUUGGCUGACUUGGCUUGAAAAGAGUUCAAACCAAGUGCCAUACGGUUCCAGGCCAGUGUCAAAAUCUGAAACCGUGAC
Molecule: long non-coding RNA, 642 nt
Filed under: Manihot esculenta (cassava)
Lineage: Eukaryota; Viridiplantae; Streptophyta; Magnoliopsida; Malpighiales; Euphorbiaceae
Description: long non-coding RNA (MESC_LNC001191)
Source: RNAcentral